UCCGGUGGUUAUGGCAAAGUGGUCACACCUGUUCCCAUCCCGAACACAGAAGUUAAGCACUUUAGCGGCAAAACUAGCUAUGCAUGCCAUAGUGAAGAUAGCUCGCUGCCGGAU
Non-coding RNA from Firmicutes bacterium GWF2_51_9, 114 nucleotides. NCBI's taxonomy places the organism in Bacteria, Bacillati, Bacillota. The record is from Rfam.